RNAcentral lists this ribosomal RNA (597 nucleotides) under fungal endophyte. Its description in RNAcentral is "eukaryotic LSU rRNA". The stretch from base 137 to 290 matches the Rfam family "5.8S ribosomal RNA". The record is from RNAcentral. Lineage: Eukaryota; Fungi.
UACUGAGUUAUACAACUCCCAACCCCUGUGAACAUACUACUGUUGCCUCGGCGGCGCUGCUGUACAGCGGCCCGCCGGCGGACCGAAACGCUAUCUAUAUACACUGUAUCUCUGAGUACAUAACUAAAUACGUUAAAACUUUCAACAACGGAUCUCUUGGUUCUGGCAUCGAUGAAGAACGCAGCGAAAUGCGAUACGUAAUGUGAAUUGCAGAAUUCCGUGAAUCAUCGAAUCUUUGAACGCACAUUGCGCCCGGUAGUAUUCUACCGGGCAUGCCUAUUCGAGCGUCAUUUCGACCCUUACGCCCCUGUUGCGUAGUGUUGGGACUCUGCGUCGCGGCGCAGCUCCUGAAAAUCAUCGGCGGCGCGCAGGCCCACGCUAGGUGUAGUAUGUACCAUUCUCGCCUCGGUAGUGGUCUGAGCUGACAGCCGGAAAACUAUUUUUUUUAGUGGUUGACCUCGGAUUAGGUAGGACUACCCGCUGAACUUAAGCAUAUCAAUAAGCGGAGGAAAAGAAACCAACAGGGAUUGCCCUAGUAACGGCGAGUGAAGCGGCAACAGCUCAAAUUUGAAAUCUGGCCCUAGCGGUCCGAGUUGU